UGUUUUUGAUCUGCACUUCCUUUCCUGGGGGAGGAUAAAAGAAGGACGCUGCAGAUUUCUAAAGCACAAUUUAGGCCUAUUUUGCUCAGAAUCCAGUUUUAUUAUCUUUCAAAUAACAGGGCUAGAAGUAACUUUGCAUAAAAGCAAAACCUUUCAACAUGAGUGCAGGCGCACCGCUCUUCCUAAACCACACGUCAGACCCAUGUCUUCACUAGCCUAGCCGGAAGCAUGCAGGAUGCCCUGCUUGAAUGGAUUAUUCCUGACUUUAAUAAGGCACUGACCAAGGCAGCUGCCACCUCCAGAAUCAUAAUAAUUACCCUCUGUCUGCCCUUAGAGGAUAACAGCAAAAGAAAAAAGUUACAAACUUUUCCGAACCAAUGUGGUCAAAGCCAUAACUGACCAGAAAUCCAGCAGAACUUUUGGAAUGUAUACAGUCUUUCUUUCAUAUCCAAGAACUGUGUUUAAAAACUUGCACAUCAAGAGAGAAAAGAAGAAUACUCGUGCCAAACAUCUGGAUAAUCAAUCCUUUCUCCGACUCCUUCCUUGUUCUGCCUACGGCCACUCUGAGACUUUUGAGACAGCGUUCACCUAAUAGAACAGAACCUUUAUUCCACUGCUAGAGAAAUGAAAGUACUGUAAACUUAUUACAACAGUUAGGAAUAGAUUUCAAAAGACAACACAAAAACUCUAAGCAGAUUUAUUAAGAUGGUACAAAGUUGCUUCUAACGGGCUUGCUGUAUGGGAUAAAACCAAACUGCCCUUAAAGAAUCAGUCAACUCACACCCUGAAAGUACAUGAGCAGAAGAGGAAGAGAAUCAAAGUGGACCACACAACUUUUGGAGAAGUACACCUUUCACAACAAAAUGAUUGAAAGGCACCCAAGUUCAAUUUUCAGACAGCAACCAAGCACUUGAAAAAUCUUUACAGGAAACCCAUGGAAAUUACGAUCAGGGGAGUGCCAGCCCGGAUGAGAACCAAAGCUUAUAUCAAUUAAUUAGGAUGAUGUGGUCAAAUAUGACCCCUCCGGUGUGCCGUCUUGUUUGCUAUGGGGUACAUUGCACACCUUUUUAUACCAACCCUAUUCUCCCAGAUUCUAGCA
RNAcentral lists this long non-coding RNA (1099 nucleotides) under Pogona vitticeps (central bearded dragon). RNAcentral describes it as "lncRNA (ENSPVIG00000024528.1)". The record is from RNAcentral. Lineage: Eukaryota; Metazoa; Chordata; Lepidosauria; Squamata; Agamidae.